CAGCAGUGGGGAAUUUUGGACAAUGGGGGAAACCCUGAUCCAGCCAUUCCGCGUGUGCGAUGAAGGCCUUCGGGUUGUAAAGCACUUUUGGCAGGAAAGAAAUCGCACCAAUUAAUACUUGGUGUGGAUGACGGUACCUGCAGAAUAAGCACCGGCUAACUACGUGCCAGCAGCCGCGGUAAUACGUAGGGUGCAAGCGUUAAUCGGAAUUACUGGGCGUAAAGCGUGCGCAGGCGGUUCGGAAAGAGAGGUGUGAAAUCCCAGGGCUCAACCUUGGAACUGCACUUUUAACUACCGAGCUAGAGUAUGUCAGAGGGGGGUGGAAUUCCGCGUGUAGCAGUGAAAUGCGUAGAUAUGCGGAGGAACACCGAUGGCGAAGGCAGCCCCCUGGGAUAAUACUGACGCUCAUGCACGAAAGCGUGGGGAGCAAACAGGAUUAGAUACCCUGGUAGUCCACGCCCUAAACGAUGUCAACUAGCUGUUGGGGCCUUCGGGCCUUAGUAGCGCAGCUAACGCGUGAAGUUGACCGCCUGGGGAGUACGGUCGCAAGAUUAAAACUC
RNAcentral lists this ribosomal RNA (560 nucleotides) under beta proteobacterium zj22. RNAcentral's name for it is "bacterial SSU rRNA". It matches the Rfam family "Bacterial small subunit ribosomal RNA", at positions 349 to 902 of the family's 1533-position model. Lineage: Bacteria; Pseudomonadati; Pseudomonadota; Betaproteobacteria. The record is from RNAcentral.